RNAcentral lists this long non-coding RNA (693 nucleotides) under Homo sapiens (human). RNAcentral describes it as "HSALNT0292316". Lineage: Eukaryota; Metazoa; Chordata; Mammalia; Primates; Hominidae. The record is from RNAcentral.
GAGGAACAGUGGGUUCUUUCUCCAGUUGUUCUGUCCUUACUGGGGAGGAGCCCAGGGACAUAUUUCACAGCUAAGUCAACUGCUUUUCUUCAAAUUCAGAUUUAAUCCUUGAGUGAAAUGAGUCACUGGCUCAUCCAGUUAAGAUCAUCACCCACUUUCCUAACAAAACUUCUCUUCAAAGAAGGACUCGCUCAUCCAUCAGGUGGACCUCCACAGGAACAAAUCAUAUCCAUGUCAGGCGGCACCAAACCUAAAUCUGCUUCUGCCUCAGCAGACAGGACAUGUUGAGUUUGGCCAGUGAGUGCUGCAGGAUACUGGAGGGAGGGCAACAGAGAGGAAGGUUGUUCCCAAGAGAACUACACAAACAAUGACUGAAUGAAGAGCAAAUAAUUAUUACAUUAACAAUUGUCUAAGUACUCUAUUUUCUAAUGCAAGACCAUCUUCCACAGGAAGCCCUUCAUUGACCUGCUCAGAUGAACUCAGCUAUGUGACCUGCAAGUUUAUUCUUCCACUUAUUAUACUUACUUUAUCACUAUUUGUUCAGUGACUUCCCCAGGAGCAAUUAAAGCAGAAACCAUGCAUGUCUUAUUUGUUCAGUAUUCUGUCCUAAUAUCUUAGCAAGUAUAUGUCAUAGAGCUACUAUUUAUUGAUUCUUAACUAGUAUAAGAGUUAGAUGUCUAAAAUGUGACUCCA